Molecule: ribosomal RNA, 245 nt
Filed under: uncultured Pseudolabrys sp.
Lineage: Bacteria; Pseudomonadati; Pseudomonadota; Alphaproteobacteria; Hyphomicrobiales; Xanthobacteraceae
Description: partial 16S ribosomal RNA
Rfam family: Bacterial small subunit ribosomal RNA
Source: RNAcentral
UACGAAGGGGGCUAGCGUUGCUCGGAAUCACUGGGCGUAAAGCGCACGUAGGCGGACUCUUAAGUCGGUGGUGAAAUCCUGGAGCUCAACUCCAGAACUGCCUUCGAUACUGAGAGUCUCGAGUCCGGGAGAGGUGAGUGGAACUGCGAGUGUAGAGGUGAAAUUCGUAGAUAUUCGCAAGAACACCAGUGGCGAAGGCGGCUCACUGGCCCGGUACUGACGCUGAGGUGCGAAAGCGUGGGGAG